GACGAACGCUGGCGGCGUGCUUAACACAUGCAAGUCGAGCGGUAAGGCCCUUUCGGGGGUACACGAGCGGCGAACGGGUGAGUAACACGUGGGUGACCUGCCCUCAGCUCUGGGAUAAGCCUGGGAAACCGGGUCUAAUACUGGAUAUGACUCCAUGACGCAUGUUGUGGGGUGGAAAGCCUUGUGCGGCUGAGGAUGGGCCCGCGGGCCCUAUCAGCUUGUUGGUGGGGUGANGGCCUACCAAGGCGACGACGGGUAGCCGGCCUGAGAGGGCGACCGGCCACACUGGGACUGAGACACGGCCCAGGACUCCUACGGGAGGCAGCAGUGGGGAAUCUUGCGCAAUGGGCGAAAGCCUAGACGCAGCGACGCCGCGUGAAGGAUGACGGCCU
RNAcentral lists this ribosomal RNA (392 nucleotides) under uncultured bacterium. Its description in RNAcentral is "bacterial SSU rRNA". It matches the Rfam family "Bacterial small subunit ribosomal RNA", at positions 28 to 417 of the family's 1533-position model. The record is from RNAcentral.